This 155-nucleotide ribosomal RNA is filed under the name uncultured eukaryote. Its description in RNAcentral is "partial 18S ribosomal RNA". It matches the Rfam family "Eukaryotic small subunit ribosomal RNA", at positions 1299 to 1458 of the family's 1831-position model. The record is from RNAcentral.
UGGUGGAGUGAUUUGUCUGGUUAAUUCCGAUAACGAACGAGACCACAGCCUGCUAACUAGUUACGCCUAUACUUUGCCUCGUGUGAUGUAUAGGUGGCAAUACUUCUUGGAGGGGACUUUCAGCGUUUAGCUGAAGGAAGUUUGUGGCAAUAACA